RNAcentral lists this transfer RNA (71 nucleotides) under Phormosoma bursarium. RNAcentral describes it as "tRNA-Trp". The record is from RNAcentral. Lineage: Eukaryota; Metazoa; Echinodermata; Echinoidea; Echinothurioida; Phormosomatidae.
CAAGGACUUAAGUUAACGAAACUGUUAGCCUUCAAAGCUUUUAAUAAGAAUGAAACUUUCUUAGUCUUUGG